AACACAUGCAAGUCGAACGGUAACAGGAAACAGCUUGCUGUUUCGCUGACGAGUGGCGGACGGGUGAGUAAUGUCUGGGAAACUGCCUGAUGGAGGGGGAUAACUACUGGAAACGGUAGCUAAUACCGCAUAACGUCGCAAGACCAAAGAGGGGGACCCUCGGGCCUCUUGCCAUCGGAUGUGCCCAGAUGGGAUUAGCUUGUUGGUGGGGUAACGGCUCACCAAGGCGACGAUCCCUAACUGGUCUGAGAGGAUGACCAGCCACACUGGAACUGAGACACGGUCCAGACUCCUACGGGAGGCAGCAGUGGGGAAUAUUGCACAAUGGGCGCAAGCCUGAUGCAGCCAUGCCGCGUGUAUGAAGAAGCCCUUCGGGUUGUAAAGUACUUUCAGCGGGGAGGAAGGGAGUAAAGUUAAUACCUUUGCUCAUUGACGUUACCCGCAGAAGAAGCACCGGCUAACUCCGUGCCAGCAGCCGCGGUAAUACGGAGGGUGCAAGCGUUAAUCGGAAUCACUGGGCGUAAAGCGCACGCAGGCGGUUUGUUAAGUCAGAUGUGAAAUCCCCGGGCUCAACCUGGGAACUGCAUCUGAUACUGGCAAGCUUGAGUCUCGUAGAGGGGGGUAGAAUUCCAGGUGUAGCGGUGA
This 645-nucleotide ribosomal RNA is filed under the name uncultured Pseudomonadota bacterium. Its description in RNAcentral is "bacterial SSU rRNA". It matches the Rfam family "Bacterial small subunit ribosomal RNA", at positions 50 to 684 of the family's 1533-position model. Lineage: Bacteria; Pseudomonadati; Pseudomonadota. The record is from RNAcentral.